This 1001-nucleotide ribosomal RNA is filed under the name uncultured eukaryote. RNAcentral describes it as "SSU rRNA". It matches the Rfam family "Eukaryotic small subunit ribosomal RNA", at positions 47 to 1055 of the family's 1831-position model. The record is from RNAcentral.
GGCCAUGCAUGUCUAAGUAUAAACAAUUCUAUACUGUGAAACUGCGAAUGGCUCAUUAAAUCAGUUAUAGUUUAUUUGAUAAUAUCUACUACUUGGAUAACCGUGGUAAUUCUAGAGCUAAUACAUGCGUAAAAACCCGACUUCGGAAGGGUUGUAUUUAUUAGAUACAAAACCAACGCAGGGCUUGCCCUGGUUUUUGGUGAUUCAUAAUAACUUUUCGGAUCGCAUGGCGCAAGCCGGCGACGUUUCAUUCAAAUUUCUGCCCUAUCAACUUUCGAUGGUAAGGUAUUGGCUUACCAUGGUUACAACGGGUAACGGAGAAUUAGGGUUCGAUUCCGGAGAGGGAGCCUGAGAAACGGCUACCACUUCCAAGGAAGGCAGCAGGCGCGCAAAUUACCCAAUCCUGACACAGGGAGGUAGUGACAAAAAAUAACAAUACAGGACUUUUAAAAGCCUUGUAAUUGGAAUGAGUACAAUUUAAACCCCUUAACGAGGAACAAUUGGAGGGCAAGUCUGGUGCCAGCAGCCGCGGUAAUUCCAGCUCCAAUAGCGUAUAUUAAAGUUGUUGCAGUUAAAAAGCUCGUAGUUGGAUUUUAGGUUACGUUCAUUGGUCUGCCUAAUCGGUAUGCACUGGUGGGCGUUUCCUUCUUUCUGAAGACUGUGUGCGCCUUUAAUCGGGUGUGCAUAGGGUUCAGAACUUUUACUGUGAGAAAAUUAGAGUGUUUAAAGCAGGCGUUUGCUUGGAUAUUGCAGCAUGGAAUAAUGGAAUAGGAUCGCGAUCUUAUUUUGUUGGUUUCUAGGAUCGAGAUAAUGAUUAAUAGGGAUAGUUGGGGGCAUUAAUAUUUAAUUGUCAGAGGUGAAAUUCUUGGAUUUAUGAAAGAUUAACUUCUGCGAAAGCAUUUGCCAAGGAUGUUUUCGUUAAUCAAGAACGAAAGUUAGGGGAUCGAAGACGAUCAGAUACCGUCGUAGUCUUAACCAUAAACUAUGCCGACUAGGGAUUG